This is a long non-coding RNA of Aedes aegypti (yellow fever mosquito), 793 nucleotides long. RefSeq lists it as uncharacterized. NCBI's taxonomy places the organism in Eukaryota, Metazoa, Arthropoda, Insecta, Diptera, Culicidae. The record is from RefSeq and is a predicted model, not a curated record. The transcript has 4 exons.
AUAGUGGUACGCUCAAAUAUACAAACAUUCUUAUUUUUACUAUGCCAUAAAAUAGUCACCAUAACCAUUUUUGUCGAUACAUAUUUGUUACUUAAUGUUUAUCUAGUUGCUUAGAAGUGGAACUGCUGAGAUUUAACAGGUGUUAUUACCAACUCAACAUUGACGAUUCCAAGAACAAAACCAUGUCGGAGUGCAUGGCGUAAUUCACCCCACGCAGGACGACUCACUGAGGGCAUUCAAACCGGAGAAUGGUUUCAUAACGGCCGCGCAUGAUUGUAGGGAAACGAUCUACAAUUACGAAUGGCCGCGACGUGAUCCACGCCAAUGACAUCCCGGUCGCACCUCAGGACAUGGGGGCAAACCUGAGCUAGGAGAACAUCGUUUCGAACGCCAACCUGAUUGAAAUGAACUCCCGCACUAACUGGGCGAGCUACCAAACCCAGCUAACCCCGUUACCGCCAAUCAAAGACAAUGCCUUUGCUCCAAGGGGAUUUUAGGGCAUACUCCCUCACCAUAAGAAGCUUCCGGAAACUGUGCCAUCCAGUCUAGAAAAAGAGUUUCUAUCGACUUUCGUGUAAAAGAGCCUAUAUCAACAGGAACAUCAAUAUCUGCACGAAUUUUAUCUUUUUAGAUCAAAACUGACCGCAAGAAUAGAAUCCAUGAUUGUCACGAGCAAGCCAUCAAGAAACCGCUAAACCAACGAUGACAAUAAUCGCUUUGGAUCCAGAAUCAUGAUUCAUAUGAUUCAUGUAUUGUAAACGAUAAUUCGAAUAAAAAAUAUCAAUGCUGAUAA